UGGGGAAUUUUGGACAAUGGGCGCAAGCCUGAUCCAGCAAUGCCGCGUGCAGGAUGAAGGCCUUCGGGUUGUAAACUGCUUUUGUACGGAACGAAAAGCCUCUCUCUAAUACAGGGGGGUGAUGACGGUACCGUAAGAAUAAGCACCGGCUAACUACGUGCCAGCAGCCGCGGUAAUACGUAGGGUGCAAGCGUUAAUCGGAAUUACUGGGCGUAAAGCGUGCGCAGGCGGUUUUGUAAGACAGUGGUGAAAUCCCCGGGCUCAACCUGGGAACUGCCAUUGUGACUGCAAGGCUGGAGUGCGGCAGAGGGGGGAUGGAAUUCCGCGUGUAGCAGUGAAAUGCGUAGAUAUGCGGAGGAACACCGAUGGCGAAGGCAAUCCCCUGGGCCUGCACUGACGCUCAUGCACGAAAGCGUGGGGAGCAAACAGGAUUAGAUACCCUGGUAGUCCACGCCCUAAACGAUGUCAACUGGUUGUUGGGGAUUUAUUUCUUCAGUAACGAAGCUAACGCGUGAAGUUGACCGCCUGGGGGAGUACGG
Molecule: ribosomal RNA, 539 nt
Filed under: uncultured bacterium
Lineage: Bacteria
Description: partial 16S ribosomal RNA
Rfam family: Bacterial small subunit ribosomal RNA
Source: RNAcentral